UUAAUUGAAACCAAAGUCAGAGGUAUGCUACUGUUAAUAGUAUAAAUGGGAUACACCCCAAUUAAA
RNAcentral lists this transfer RNA (66 nucleotides) under unidentified. RNAcentral's name for it is "Adiscus speciosus tRNA-Asn". The record is from RNAcentral.